Molecule: unclassified non-coding RNA, 294 nt
Filed under: uncultured Leotiomycetes
Lineage: Eukaryota; Fungi; Ascomycota; Leotiomycetes
Description: sequence contains ITS1
Rfam family: 5.8S ribosomal RNA (bases 1-105)
Source: RNAcentral
GAAAUGCGAUAAGUAAUGUGAAUUGCAGAAUUCAGUGAAUCAUCGAAUCUUUGAACGCACAUUGCGCCCCCUGGUAUUCCGGGGGGCAUGCCUGUUCGAGCGUCAUUACAACCCUCAAGCUCCGCUUGGUAUUGGGCCCCGCCGGUUCUGGCGGGCCUUAAAGUCAGUGGCGGUGCCGCCCGGCUCCGAGCGUAGUAAUUCUUCUCGCUCUGGAGGCCUGGGUGUGUGCUAGCCAGCAACCCCCAAUUUUUUCAGGUUGACCUCGGAUCAGGUAGGGAUACCCGCUGAACUUAA